GCUAAUUAGCGUGAGGGGAAAGGGGACUCUGAGAGGACUGUGUUAAUUAGCAAAAGGGAUCACAUAUCUCAGCUUAUAUUAAUUUUCAAAUGACAAGACACAGGUGCACAUUUAGUGGCAGUGAAUGCAUGUUAGCAUUUAAGGGCUUUUCUUUCUUUUUUUUUCCCUUGCUUUUUUUUCCACUCCAAUGGAUGGAUCUUCCUUUAGAGGGAGUUAUCAGAAGGGAAAAUCUCAAAGUGACUGGAAGUGCUGUAUUAAUCUCCCAGUGCAUUAUCCAUGGUACCUGUAACAAAAACUUGGUAGAAGGAGAGUGUCUGAAGAGGCCGUUUGGUUUACUGGACUGGAGACUAUCAUAGAAAUACUUCUUCCUCCCAUAUGUAUGAGGCAGCUGAACUCAAGUAUUGCAAGUCUGGAAAAAUGCCCUUCCGCGUCCCUGGAUUUCUUGGCACUUCUAACAGAGUGGACAGAAGCAUCUCAACCUUCAUGUAUGGAGGUGCUGGGCCAGGUACAGCCUGCCUACGUGGAUCACAUCUCCAGAGACACUGCUUACUGCUUUAGGUAUGCUGAUUCAGUUUGCAUGUUUCUUUGGAAUGCUAAAAUGAAUACAGUAAAUGAAUAGAAAUGUCAAGACACUGCGAAAACAAAAAAUGUUGAAAGAGAAUUCUUAUGGACUGAUGAACUGAGAGCUGAAAUGGGAGCAGCAGAUGAGAACCAGUUGGUGGCCGGAUACUAUAUGCUGGAUCUCCAUUUUUAAGCCAUCUUUGAGACUGAUGUGUUAGACAAGCAGAAGCCAAACUGCUGGGGGAGUUUCUGGAACUACACAACAACUUGCUGUCAGAGCAAGUUGCACCAUCACAAGGCAUCACCUCUGCUUUCCAGACACUGAGUCUCCAGACAAUUAAUGUUCGUCUGCAGUUACUACGUUGUCUCUCUCACACUUCUCCUUGAUGAUUAUGAAACUGCUGAGCCGAAUUACACUUUAUAAGGUGAUAGGGAAAAGAUCUAACAUCUAUUUUUCCAUCUUGCAGAUUUUACAGUGUGAGUGAUGCUAAUUUUUCAGCCUAAAAACCAACCAAACGCUGACGUCCUGCUUCUCCUGAACUGGCAUUGUCCAGGUAAACAAGAACAUCUGAAAUCACUGAUUUGUGGCUUAUGUGCCAAAUCAUUGAGCCCCACGUCACAUUAAUCACUAGAAAAUGAAAAAGGGUGAGCUGUACCUGACUCUGAUGUUUCUGUUCCCUACUAGUGUGCUGGCAUCCAUCCUUAGAGAGCGCUGGGCCCACUCUGUGUAUGGUUUUCUACCGGUGACCCAGAGAGAGAUGUGGUGGCUGUGAUCAGUUUCCCAGUUCUUGAGUAGACCAAGCCCUACAGGGAUUUAUCUGUGAUCCUCCUUGGCUCUAAUGUAUGCUGUCUUCUGCUUGACUUUCAGCCGUGGAGACAGGUGACAAAUAAAAGUAUUAGAAGAACUUGACUCAGUGGUAGGAGAAUUCACAGCAUGAAGUGUUUUCUAUCUUUGUUGAGAUCUUUUCACCAUGUGAAAAGCUCGGGUUUGCCAUUUCUCUUGCUGUGUAAUAGGCCAUGCAGUUUGUUCCACACACUUACUGCCUGACUAGUUUUGAGAUGUUCUUGCAUUAUAUCAAUUGGUAAGCAAGUUCUUGUCAAAGCCAGAGCAUAAAGCUUACGUGGGGUUCUUGUGUUCCUUCAAGGUAGCCAGUCUGGCAUUUUCUACACGAAUGAAAAUUAUUCACUGAAUGUGUUCCAUGUGAGGUUUGUUCUAUUAUGUUUUUCAAGUAGUUCUAAUAACUUCUGAGAUCUAUGUCAGCUUACAAAUAGAGAAUGAUCACCAAUUAUAUUACAAAAAUAACAAUGAAAGCUUAAUAAGGAGAAACUAAUACUGUAGCUUCAUUAGUAAGAUCCGUAGUUGAAUUGCUAUGCUUCUGUUUUCUUUUUCCUUUUUCUUUUUCAUUUUUUUUCUUUUCCUUAAAUCUCUAAGCACAUUUUCACUUAUUGUAGAAGCACUGAAAUUCAUUUAUACUGGUUUUUUUUGCUUGGUCUUGUUCUGACAUUUCUCAAAGCCACUCUUUGGGUAUGUACCUUUGGCUACUAACCGUGUGGAUUUCAUUUAGAGAUGAGAAAGCUUCUUUCCAGUAACUUGUCAGCCCGGAAAAUCAGCCCUGCAGGGUAACACCCAGCCCCUUCUUUAAAUGUCAAGGAGAAGAACAUAUUUGUGCUCUUGUAUUGCAGAGAAUUCACAGCAGCUUCACUUCUGACUUGGAAGCCUUGGACGGAAGCAGGUAGCCUAUUCCUCGUAUGGUAGGUUGUUGGGCUUUGAUUUGUUUCUUUUUUUUGUUUUAGUCCAUGUGUCAAACCAAGUGGCAAGACUACUUUUUCAUAAGUUUAUGCCCCUGUGGGUAGUCUGUGGCUUCCUAAGGGCCCCAUGCUAUGCUUGCGUCUGGCAGAAGAUGGCCUUGUAGGGAUAGAGGCAAAAAUCUUUCUGGGGCAGGAAGAUUAAGAAAGCUUUUCAUUCCCACCAGAGUUAGAGGCCAAGAGAGAUUAACAUUAUCUGCUUUCUGUUGUACUCAGUGGAGGGGACUGUACCUUAUGAGCAGUACAGUGGGAAGAAAUAUUUAAUCAAACUGAUUUUCUACUUGCUACUUAGAUUCAUGGUGACAAGUCAAAAACAUUAUGGCUCCCGUGCUAGUUUGACUGAUCUUUCAUCCAAUUUCAGUCCUGCAAGUUUGACAAAUAACACUUUUCUUGUGCCAGUUAGAUUCCAGACAGUCCUGUUAAGCUGUAAAAUAGGGACUUGCAGAGGCUUUGAAUCUACUGGAAUGCAUUUCAAGGUUUUGAAUUUGUAGGGCAGAAUCUAGGAGGAGGGAGAAUGCUCCUGUUUCAGGAGCCCAGGUACACUGGGUUAGCAUCAGGGCACCUGUUCCAGCUCUGAGGAUCCCACAGAUUUACUGACAUGCUGGAAGGACCCUGAUAGGGUCCUUCUGGCUGCAACAAAAUAAAACUGCUUAAUGCUCUAAUGAGGAUCUGAAAUCUUUUUCUUAUUAAGUAACCUCCUCUGCCUGGGUCCACUGAACUUCAUGGACUUGCCAUGGAGGAAAGAGCUUUGUUUAGUCUUUAGGACAAGCAGGAUUUUAAAAUCAGUUGCUGAAUUUGCGUUCUUCUUAAAAAAUUUCUCUGUUGCUGGUUGCUACACAGGGUUAAAGAAUAAAUGCUCUGCUGCAGGCUUUGGGGGAAAGAGAAGCCUACAUCUUUUCUGUAACUGCCUAGUGGUAUAUGAUAGUUAACAUUAAAAAAAAAAUCUUUUAAAAAGGAGCCUUCUGAUUUAGUGAAAUGGAAUCCUAGUGAGGGAAGGGAAGGAGGUCAAGGAGAGCAGAAAAGAGGGAAGACUAUGGCAUAAGCUUCCCCUUCUAUUAACUGCAGGCACAUUUAAACCAGCUGUUGAUGUAUUAAAAAAACUUUUAAACAUCCAAGACAUAUGCAUUAAAACCUAACACAUCUAUUCUGUUAGUUUGUACCAAGAGUUUAGAAACAGCACCCUCUACUUUCAGUACUCUUCAAAGGCAGCAGUGUCUGGAGCUUGCCAUUCCACCAGGUAACAUCCAUGGUACACAGACCUAGUUCAGUACUAGUUCCUCCUCCUAGGGGUGAGGACUUGCCAAGGGUGGAAUCCUGCCCCAUCAGAAACUUGGGCAGUGGGAUGCACUCUUUAGGUUUUUGUUUUCUCUGUACACUCACACUGACACCUGUCCUCUUGCCCACAUCCAACUCACGGAAUAAAUUGAAGGACCGAGUCCCACUGGUAGGCACUGGGAAACAUCAGUGAAACCAGUGGAACUGAUGACACCAAGUCCGGUGUCUGUAGCAAUAUUUCAAGUUGGAGCAGGCAAGACAAUCAAUUGUGAGAACGGGUGAUGCUGGACCUCAGUCCUUCCCUUGCUCCCCUCCCCUCUUAUUUAUAGGUUUCUAAUUUCCGCUGGAUAAUGAAUAUCACUCUUCAUUAUAAUUAUGUUAAAAGGUACCAGCAUGAUGAUUCAGAAACCCUUGAAGAUAUAGUCAUAUUUUCAGCAACAGAUGGAUUUAACACUGCAGAUGGAGUGUUAAGAGUGCAGGUAAUAACAAACUCAGCAAUGUACUGUACUGAAAUAUAAUUGGAAAGUAUUAAUCAUAUAUUGGUUACUUCAGCUUCACUAAGUAGAUGUUUAAUUUUCAUCAAUCUUUUUAUAAGAUUCCCGGAAAGGUUUCUUUGUAGACGAAGUGUGGCUUCUAGGUGAAAGGAUUGCCCAAGUUAUUAAUGACCAAGGCCUUGAUCUUGCAGGCAUGUGCCCAUGGCUUACCCAGGCAUGCAGAAUAAAAAUCAUUUGUGUUAAUAAGGCUGUCAGAUGGGGCCCCAUUCAUAUGGCCUAAAGUUUCAGCUGGUGACGAGUCGGUAGUAAAACCAAGACCCUUCUGAACUCGGGGGCUGCUGGAGGCCUGCCAACAGGAACUACUGACUGCAGAUUUGGGAAGAAUGCAGGCAGGUUGGAAAGCCUGGUUUGCAGAGGUAAACCGUGACUUUAUGUCUUUGCAGGACUGGAAUUUCGCAUGCCAAUAACACUGGGAGAGACCGCUUUUUUUGUAGUUGUUUUUUUGCCAUUCCUUACUAUUUUCUCUAAGUACAACCCUUUAUAAAUAAUCUGCAUAUGGGGAAAUGUCUGCUACUGUUUCCAUAAACCCUGUCAUCUGACCAUUUUUUUUAAUGUGGGGGUUGAAUUUGAAGCCUGGGUGACACAGGGGGUUUUUGCUCCCACCAGGCCAUGCAGGGCCAGUGGAAUCAGUGGUGCCCAGUUCCACACCAUGACUCUGAUUCUUUAAUUAAUGUUAUUUAAGAUUUCAUUUUUAGGGUCAGAAAUUGGCCUGUGCUCUGCUGUGACGCCUGUAGAUGGCAGGGAGUGCUGUAGGGCAAACCUCCAGCUCACAUGGGGAAAAUCUUCAUCUGUUUUAUGGCAAAAAUGUAAAACGUUCUAUUUUUGUGAAAACUGAUGUCUUUUCUUUUGACUGUGAUUCUGUGGAUGCGAUACCUCGGAUUGUUUGUAUUCAUGUUCUUCUCUGUGAGUUUUGGCAUCGUGGCUGCAUCACAGAGUCACAGACAGGGGGAGGAGGGAAGGGCACCUCUGGGUCCAUCUGGUCCAACUCCUGCCCAGCAGAACACCCAGAUCAGAGUGCCCAGGCCCACCUCCUGGUGGCUUUUGAAGAACUGCAAAGGGGAGACUCCACAGCCUCUCUGGGCAGCCUGUGCCAGUGCUUAGUUGCGUGCCAGAGCAUCUCCACAGACCUUCAUAGGAGCUUUCCUUCCUUGUGAGAGCCCACAGCCAUGGUACGCCAUGAUGAACAUGGGCUGACCAGGCUUGUAGACAGCAGUAUAAACAUUUAAUGCAUACAUUUUAAACCCCGUGAAAUAUCUUUAGUUGAAAUAUUUUGUUUUCUAGUUGUCUGUGGACCCUGAGACCAUAUUGAAAACCAGAAUUCUCUCUGGAGCAUUGACUCUCACUUGAUGGUACAAUAGACUUCUACUUUUUUUUAUCUUGUCUGAGGAGGAAAAAAAGAUCUGGUAACAAAAUUCAGCAUGGCUAAAAGUAAAAAUCAUGAUGGUGAACACACUAUAAUGCAGGAUUAGUGUACUCUUUACCUUCCGAAAGGCACCUGUUCCCCAGAGAGAAACAAGCAAGUGCUGAUCAAUUGACCAUGACAAUGGAAGGAAGGGCUGGGAGUGUAAGUGAUUCUGAAUAUGGUGUUCCUUUAAGGGUACCGGACAAGACGACUUGCCUGUAACACAGCUUCCAUACUACUGUCAUGGGGAAGCAGCAGCUUGUUGCUAGCUAUCAUGUGGAAACAAAUGGUAAUUUUAUUUUCACUGGCACUUGGAAAUCAUCCUUCCCUUAUCUUCCCAGUUUCUGGGUGGACUAUGGGAUGGGCACAAGACCCAGAGCCACAGCAGGUAUUGCAGUCUGGGCUGGGUUCUGGGCAGCACCUGGAAUCGCCUCUGAGCUCUCUGUGUGACAUAUGAUGAAGGUGGUGGCACACAGAUGACGUACGUGACUGCCCAGGCUCCAGCACACAGGGUGAUACAAAGGGCAAGAGUCAUGGUGGAUCAGUUUUCCUGGCUGGAUGCAAUCUGAAGAUCCAUCUCCUGUGUACAUACCGGUAGGAUAGACUUUUGAUCUCUGUGGCAAUGUUUGUACUUUCCUUCUCUCUCUCUCCCCAUUUUUUUUCUACUUUAAUUAUGAAAAUUAAUUGAAUCAAAAGUGAUUUAAACUGUCAGGCUUCUUAGUCUUGAUUUAAAUCAGAUGUUUUAAAGCUUGUUCUGCGUUAGUAGUAUGAAGUCAUGCUUCUACGGAGAGUUUCAGUCUCACUGUUCACCAGUGGGACAAGGACAUUGGUACUUGUUUGUGAGAAACAGGCAGAUCAUGCAUUGCAUAUGCCUGUAAAUAAUGUAGCUUAACACUCAUUAAAAAGCUAUCUAGCUCUGUACAGAAGGUACUAAGAGGCAGUAGAUCUGCCUUCAUAAAUCAUCUCAUAGUUGGCUCUGUAAGAUUUAAGUUCCAGGGGACUGAGCCUAGAAGGAUGCUACUCACACCCAAGAGGACUGAGCAGGUGGCAGUGACUUCAAACACUGGGACUCAUGAAAGCUGCAGGGCCUCUGUUAUCUUCCCACUAACACUGGGACUUCUACCUGUCCCUGUUUGCCCUGCAUCAUCUUAGGAUAUGGGGUUUGAUUUUUCCAAUUACCGUGAUGAUGUUUUUCAUUUGUGACAAACUGCUUUUGGAUGAAAAGUGCAAUUCAAGCGAAAUUACAAACUACUGCCUUAAGGAAGCAUUUUAUUUGCUAAGUCAGGCUGUGUGAAACGUGCUCUAUGUAUCAAAAAUGAAAGUAAAGCAUAUCUGAUAUUUUAAAACUUGAUAAAUUAUUGACAAUGGAAAAAUGCCCUGAGUUAAUCAGUCUGAUGGUUUUGUCACCAUUUGUCCCUUGAGGAUUCAGAAGUAGUGGAUCAUGCUUUAAUGUUGGUCUGCCCUCGUCAUUUGGAAGAGAGAAAACAAACAUUCCCGUGCCUCAGCUCAUCAGUGUCUGCAGCUGACUCAAUCAGCUGUAGAACUGAAGGGAAGGAAACAUAAAUUGAUGUGAAGAAAACGUUCUCCCUGAAGCUGCAGAAGCAGCAAUGGUUGUCAAAAUCUGAUCUUUAUCCCUUCAAAGACCUGUAGUUAGGGUCACUGAUCGCAUUGUCUCAUUCAUUGGCUGGACUUUUAUAUAAGUUUGGAAGAUAGGCACUGCUUUAAUAUAUUUUACUUAAUUUAUUAAAAUAAGUUUAUUGCAAGACCGUGUUAAUAACAAAUGUGACUUUUGGCACACAUCUAGAAAGGAAAAUCAGCAUUUAAGCUUCUCUUUCUAAAGACUGCUGCUGUUUCUUAUUCACUAUCACAGCCACAGCAUGUAAUAGUCUGACAAAACAAUUGUAAAAUAUAAAAAUUUUUUCUCACUUUGAGACUUGUAACUCAGUAGUUUGUGUUGCAGAAAUGCUCUGCCUAGAGGUUAGCCUGUUGCAUUUAUUCACCUUGGGUUUGCUGGGCUUGCGUGCAUGAUUAUCCAGUGACACAGUGCUGUAACUUAUUGCCCAGGCUUCCUAAACAAAUGCUAAGCAGUCUGCUUUGGGAGUGAUUUCAGACCACUUAGAUUCCCAGCACUGUGCCCUAGACCUCUCAGGCUGCUGCACUGAAUUACCUGGAAUAAAUUCUUUGAACUCAGGUGCCCUAUUAUCCUUGUUGUCUUAAGUGGAGCCAUUAUUUAAAUGUUAUAUUUUUCUUGGCAGUUUCUUUGCCAUGCAACUUUCCUCCCUUUACUUUGAAACUGUGCUUAAACACACAAUGGAAUACAAUGCUGUUCCUUUUCUCAAGUAAAUUUGAAGAAGUGAAGGAGCAUUAAAAGAUGAUCAUUUUAAAAAAUGCAUUAAUGAUACAGGGGAGAAAAAAACAACAACUUCUCUGUUGGUAUUUUGGGUUUGUAUUGUCCGGACCAGUUAUCAUUCAGCUCUCUACCACAGCAGCUGGUCAGCUCUGCUUGGAUAUCAAACUUGGCAGAUCUCCCCUCAAGCCAUCGGCCAUGAGAAGAGCACUACUUCACCAUGUUUAUCUUUCUUUUGAGCUGAAGACCUGCUUCCAUCUUUUGCUGCCUGUUUUUAAUUUCCUUUUUCCACCUGUGAUGGCAGCAGCUUCUGAGUUAGGAUGGAGCUUUCCCUGCAGCUCUGCUCUCACUCACAGCAGCACCAUUACUCAUCCCAUGGGCAGAAUGGGCUUUCUCAUCACUGCCAGUUUUAUGCUACCCACCGGAAUCCUACUCCUGGCGGGUAUUGUUUUUGUGAGUGCAUGCCUCCUAGUUCUAUUAAAUAAUACAUGUCUGCCUUGAGAUCAGCUGCAUUGAGCAUUUGUGGAAGUUAGGUCUUCUGUGCCUCUUGGAUCCUCUGAAACACAUUCCAAGAGAUCCCUCUGGUUCUCUUUGAGCUAUUUUUUUUUUAUUUUCUUAAAGAUGCAAUUGAUACUGGGCAUGACAGAAAGUCACUUCAGUACAGCAUUGAGACCUCAGUUUAUGGGAUUAAAUGCUACAUGCAAGCUUCUUUACUUACAUAACUGAUAUUUCUUAUUUUAUUACAGCACACAGUUUUUUAAAGCUGAACUUUGAAGCUGAUCCCUCUGUAACGCUUGGUGGAAAUGCCUAGCUCUGUUUGUACGCUGUCACAUGAACAGAUGCUGACAUGCACCUGUACUCGGUCUCCACUGGGAACCACACCAUGUUGAACUAGCUGGACAGUUUUUGAACCCACUUCAUGAUAAAAGAAUAGGUUUUUAUGUAAAAAGGUUUUAGUGAAAAGCAUGUGCUUUGUGUGCCUAGUUUUAUUUUUUAUUUUUUUUUUGCUAGAACUAAAAAUUGAUGUACAUCUUUUGACUUGAGAAUUUCUGUUCAAAAUAUCAACUGUCUGUGGAAAAAGGAGAUGGAGAAGAUUUAUCUGAGGACUUGUCAAAAUUCUGUCCAGACAUGGUGAUGACAACUUCUGUGUUUUAGCUACUUAUCAUAAUUUGUUGAUGUUUUAGAUACUCUUGUUUGAUAUUUGUAUUCAUGUGGCUUAAGUAAAUGAGUUAGUUGGGGUUUAUUCCUGAUUUUACAUACCAUUGAUUUCCUUUGCAACCCUGCACAUAAUUUUACCAAGACAUUGGCCAGUUUUGCAUGCUUUGUCUCAGGAACUGGGGGACGAGGGUGGAGGGUUUGGAGAGAGCAAAUCAACGUGGAGAACCCUUAGCUUUAACUGAGGUGCUCAGUACUCAUGUCUCUUUGAAGUCAUGGGUUCCCAGCAUGAAUUAACUACUAAUGCUGCUGCAGAGCACUGGACAGGCACCAUCUGGGCAUGCAAGCUCUAGAAAGACAAAGUCAAAAUUAGGAUAGAGAAAACUUAGCAGCAAAAUCAGGAGAAUGGAGAGUCUGUUGUAAGAGAGAGGUAGGAAUUGGCUCAUUGAACUCAACCCAAAAUGACACUAUUUACGCUAAUAGGUAAUAUUGACACAAAAAGCAAGCAUGUAAGCUGCCAUGGAAAAAGGGUGAAUUCGAUCUAGCAGAGAGAAAAGAUUUUGAACAAUUCACAAAUGGAGACAAGGAACUUCAAAAUUGGAGCAUAGAACAUCUGUGAAUGGGGUGUUAUGUGCUGACUGUUUAUGGGUGAAAGGGGCAGAAGGUGGCAGCCAGAUCCCAGGGUGCUCCCUCCAACCUCCAGCUGUGAUUGACCCUGCCUCCCACCUGAUGAAUCCCCCAGCCCACAGGUUUCAGGAGGUUUCCAUCUGUUAUCUUAUUAAACAUUGCAGCACUCUGAGGAUCUUUAUAGGAGACAGUGCUGCAGUGCUCAUUCCUUUCACUGCUUUGCCUGUUUUCCAAAUCUUACAGCCCCAGUAGUAGGGAUCUCUGCUAGCUAAUGGCACUCACUGCUGCUCACUGGACUUGCCUGGAACUGCAGAGGCUGUGCUCAAAACCAGACUUUUUUUUUUUUUAAGAUACACUAACUGGCAUUGAAAUAGAGUAGUGAAGUCUGCACUCAAGUAUUAAUUUUUUUAUAAAUACUUGAGCUGUUCUCCCAGAGAAGUGUUGCUCUGGAGUUGGUCUACAUGUUCCUUGUGAGGGUGGCUGCUGGACCGGCACCCUGUGCAUCUCCCUGGAGCACUGUCCUCUGGCUCAGAGACGGAGUGACAAGUGAAUGGUUCUGUCUUGAUGAAGCUCUUCAUCCACCUCUGUGGCCUCAUGCUGCUCUCCCAGUUCAUGAUCUGAAUGGUGCAUCCAUGCCCACUGAUAACCAGUGGCCUGAGACUCAUGGGGUUAUGUUGUCUAACAUGAUUUCACUUUUCGUAUUUCACCUAAAAGAACAUUUACUUACGAUGUUUAUUCCCCCAGCUGCAAAUUCCUCCAUGAGCAGGCAGAGAUUGUCGCACUGUCACAAACUGGGUAGCAUAGGAGCAAGCAGCAGCGCUCUGCUUCUCCUGGAGAUGAGUUGUGCUAUUUCAAACUGUUUGGCUAAUCAAUAAGCUGAGAUCUGCAGCUUCACAGACAAUAUAUAAUAUUUUCUUUGCCUCUGUGCAUUGCUUUACAUUUUGGAUCCUUUUCCAUUAGGGUCUGAAGCAUAUAGACUGCAUCUAAUCCAAUUUAUCCUGUUCAUCUUGGCAAUACUGGCAAUGCUGACAGCUCAGAGAAAACACUUAAUUUGACUAAGUGUUUUCAGUUUGCUUCUCAAAAUAUUUGAAAUCAUUAAAGCCAGAGUACCUCUGUGCUGCGAUAUACAGUCCUGACCUACUUUAGCAAGUUAAUUACAAUUUGUAAAUCCCGCGGUCUUUGCUUAUGCUGCAGGCUGAAUAGGAAUUUACCUAGUUAAGACUGGGCUCGGUGUUUGAGAAUAAUUUUCCUGGUUUGAUGCAUUUUAAUACAACUCUUGAAAAAGCACUUCAGCAUUUAGAGGAAAACCAGGGGCUGCUGGGUGCGUGGUGCUCUCUGUGCUGCGCUGCCCAGGGCGUCUACACUGAGUGCUGAGCUCUGUGCAGAUGCUCUCCCAGCAUACAGCUGCUCGAGUAUGUGGUGUUCAUGGCUGCUUGUGCUCAUCACUGCGUGCUGUGCCUGAAGUUUUGGGAGAUGUCAGGAGGGUCUCAGCUUUCCUAGAUGUUUUAUGAUCUGGUUUGUCAUUGGGAUGCAUGUUUAUUGUAGAGUCAGGAAUGAUUCAAAAAUGAUGAAACAGGUUUCUAAUCCCAACUUCUUACAGAUUGCAUGAAAAAUAAUAUGGGUGAGUGGCUCACAUUGCUCUGCUGGAUAGGCCCGGCUGACUAGCUAUGGUAGUUUGCUAGCACUGGAACAUUUGUCUGGGACAAUAAGGCCAGCUGAAAUUGCCAGGCACUGGAGGACAGGAGAUCAUGCUACACCAACACAGAGAUAGCUCACUUUGCAACAUCAAUGUGAUGCUGUUCUUCUGAUUUCAUUAUUAUUUUUUUUCCCUUUUAAAGGGUUGCCUCAUGAGGUUCCUGUUCAGAGAUGCAUGCUGGCGGGUUGCAAUGCCACUGAGAAUGGAAGGUCCAGAGCUGCAGCAGGAGUAAGGAACUUGGAAAAUGCAACUGGUGCGGAAGAGCGAGCAAGGUCACUGGUGACAAGGCUCUGCUCCAUCUGUGCAGGCACGCUCUUGAGCAGAAGCAUUCCAGCAACAUGGCAUUCGGUCACAUUAUUCCAUUCCUUAUAAAUUUCAAUAGCCAGUUAUUUGCCUGCCUUUGGUUGGGAAACAAAGCCCCUCUUUGUGCAGCAGCACAACGUGGCUAUCUCAUGUAACGGAGAAAUGAAAUGCAAAUAACACAGGAAUUGUGCUUGUCUAGGGAAGAAGGAAGCAUUGUCUGGUGACAAGAGCAGAAGAAGGUGGUGCUGCCUAGUGCUUCUGACUGUCAGUCCUAAAAGGUGGAUGAAACCACCAUUAGUGAGUCUUCUGAUAACGCUGACAUAAAACCUCCCAUGUCCCCAUUUCAUCAUUCCCAGAAUAGGGACAAAAAUUAAUCUCCUCUUUUAUGCAAUUCAGCAAAGCAUUUUAAGCUGCCCUUUUUCUUUUUAAGUAUACAAGAUGUCCAACUGCCUACGCAGAGCAACAUUCACGCUGAGGUAUGCAGUGGCAUUGGGUCUGAAUUAUUUGUAAAGGACUUAGAGAAGUCUAAGUGAGAGUCAUUAAAUUACAGAGUUAAUAAACUCUUUCAGCCAUUUUUUCCUUUUUAAUCCAUUUUCUCAAGGAAGUGAGAAUUUUUAUGUGAAAUGUCCAUAUUUUCUUUAUCUUUUUUGUUCAGGCGUAGUACAGAGUAAGUGACUACUUGAAAAUCACGAUGUAAAAGCAGUGAGAGGCUUUGCCCCUCUUUCAGCACAUCCUCAACAUCUUGUUGGAUCAGGGCAUUCAUUCAGCCUUUUUUAAGCUGUGUGUACUGACACCAUGGUUCUUUGUUUAUACCUCCUUCUUUUCCAUCUUAUUUUCCUCUUCUUUCUCCAGCCUUUUCUGCUCCAUCCCACCUCUUUGCUACUUCUGAGGUCAAAUCUAUAGGAGAUGUUCUGCAGGGUGAGCAAAGAGUGAGGAAGAUGCUCAGCAAAGGAGCAAGGGGGUUGUUUGGCAUCACUCCCCUCAAAGAGGAAUGCUAACUUGCAUUGUCCAUAUGAAGAGCUAUUCAGAGCUCAAAUGGGUGACAGUCAGGGGACAGCUUGACCUCUGGCACUAGCUAGAACUGGGCAGCAACAUGAGCCAGUGCAGUCAUGCUAAUUAACAUACCCUGAGGGGACACAGUGAGGCACUGGCUCUGUACACCUGAGACAUACUUCUGGCGGUGCCAAGGUGCCAACUAGAGUGUUCUCUCAUAAAAACAAUCCAUGCAAAAAAAAAAAAAAAUUAAAAAAGGCAAAAUUCCAACUUAUGUAGAUGGAACAAUACUUAGACAUAAAAUAGCAAAGUGUACUUAUUAAUCACAGAAUCUUUUGAGUUGGAAGGGACCCUUAAAGGUCGUCUAGUCUCAUUCCCUUUCAGUGAACAGGGACACCCACAGCUCCAUCAGGUGCUCAGAGGCCUGUCCAGCCUGACCUUGAAUGUCUCCAGAGACAGGGCAUCCACCACCUCUCUGGGCAACCUGUGCCGAUGCCUCACUGCCCUUAUUGUAUAAAGAUUCUUCCUUAUUUCCCAUCUAAAUCUCCCCUCUUUUAGUUUGAAACCAUUUCCCCUUGUCCUAUCUUCUAUUCCUUAUCUACAUCCCUUUGUCUUUAUCCUACAUGUCUUUCUGACACAGUGAUACAAGGCAGGACAAACUCUGCUGUACUGUAUUGAAGUGCAGAAGCCACAUCCCUGGUGUGGGCAGCAGCAUCUUCAUUAACCUGGCUCACCUGCUUGGGCUGAAGGCACUCACACUCAUCACCUGGGGGCAGCCUCCCAUUGGGAGCAAGGGUGAGGAUCUGAGGCCACCUCUGUAGCUAGCAUGGGGAUGUCUGGGAAAGGACUUCAUUCUACACUGGUGCCCGAUGGAAAAUGAAUCUACUUCAAAGUAUGUUUGUGGUGGAUGGGGGAUCAUAUGCAUGCACUCAUUUGAAAUAGCUGAGUGUUUCUGAUGAAGAAGUCCCAAAGGCACUUAACCCCAAGGACCUUAACCCCAAAGACAAAACCUUUCUACAGAAUGCCCUUCGCUCGGCUAGCUAUGAGAAGAUCAAUGCUGGGAUUGAU
Molecule: long non-coding RNA, 13787 nt
Organism: Numida meleagris (helmeted guineafowl)
Lineage: Eukaryota; Metazoa; Chordata; Aves; Galliformes; Numididae
Exons: 5
Source: RefSeq, a predicted model, not a curated record